Molecule: microRNA precursor, 112 nt
Filed under: Punica granatum (pomegranate)
Lineage: Eukaryota; Viridiplantae; Streptophyta; Magnoliopsida; Myrtales; Lythraceae
Description: mir-399 microRNA precursor family
Rfam family: mir-399 microRNA precursor family
About the family: mir-399 was identified in both Arabidopsis thaliana and Oryza sativa computationally and was later experimentally verified. mir-399 is thought to target mRNAs coding for a phosphatase transporter. The mature sequence is excised from the 3' arm of the hairpin.
Source: Rfam by way of RNAcentral
CGGUCAAUUACGGGGCAUUUACUCCUUUGGCAGAGGGCUAAAUAGGGGAAUGUGACGAGCAUUUUCACGAUUAUGGCCCGCUGCCAAAGGAGAUUUGCCCGGCAAUUCACCG